UUUUCUUCGUUUCGCCGCCUCCCGUGCCCUAGAACGGCGCACAGAUCUCACCGGAGUUUGCCGCCGUCUGAAGCUUCUGCCGGUCGAUUGCAUCGCCUCUGGAGGGAAGCACCCACCCGAGUGCUUCGAGCUCGCCCCAACGAACACCCCACCGCCCGAGCUCCAGCCACCCUCUGUCGUCAUCCCCGCUCGCCACCGACGCCGCUGAGGACGUCGUAGAGACCGCAGCAGAGCUCCACGCCCCGUACGAUACCCUCUGGAGUCUAGAGACCACCGAAGCAGGCGCCACCAUCGCCGCCCGAGCCGCCCCGCGCCGUUCUUCCUCAAGUCCGGCGACCAGCCUCUGUUCUUCUCCGAUUGUCCGAAGUGCGAAGCGGGUCGGAAUUUAUCGUUAGAGUACUUCAACAGUGUUCAAGGCAAGUUUGCACUUUUGAAUAUGCUCACCCUAUAUUCUGCUAUGCAUGUGUUGUUCUUAUGCUAUGAGUAUAUGUUUGGUUGAUCAUUAUUUUUCGU
This is a long non-coding RNA of Triticum aestivum (bread wheat), 513 nucleotides long. RefSeq lists it as uncharacterized. The transcript has 3 exons. The record is from RefSeq and is a predicted model, not a curated record. Lineage: Eukaryota; Viridiplantae; Streptophyta; Magnoliopsida; Poales; Poaceae.